This 369-nucleotide long non-coding RNA is filed under the name Setaria viridis. RNAcentral's name for it is "long non-coding RNA (SVIR_LNC005858)". Lineage: Eukaryota; Viridiplantae; Streptophyta; Magnoliopsida; Poales; Poaceae. The record is from RNAcentral.
UGGGAUAUAUGAAUUAAACUACUGGAAUGUUGUAAUCUCUGAACUUGCCUUCGUGUGAGCAUGCUUUUCGUUUCAAUCCAAGACAAGUGGUUUAUCGGGUAUAACCCGACAGAGUAUCAGAUUGACUUGGUUAAAGUGUCAAUUUGCGUAUAAGGUGAAGUUGAGUACACUUUAACUAGGUUAAUUUGGGUGGUUCUGUCACACCUGCACCUUCCGAAAACGCUCUAUUGAUAAAGUGUUCAAUAGCAUGAGAAGGAAAGUAUUUCAAUUAAAUAAAAAAUUAGAUUAAGAUAUUAAAUGCCCUAAUCCCUUACAAUAUUCCAAUUCUCUAGCCCUUUAAAUGUCUCACUUCUCUAAGAUCAAAUCCAC